Parelaphostrongylus tenuis is the source of this 73-nucleotide non-coding RNA. The record is from the annotation of a GenBank genome assembly. Lineage: Eukaryota; Metazoa; Nematoda; Chromadorea; Rhabditida; Metastrongylidae.
GCGUCGAUGGUGCAACGGUUUAGCACACGCUCUCAGAAAGAGUGAGAUCUGGGUUCGAAUCCUGGCUGACACA